RNAcentral lists this long non-coding RNA (773 nucleotides) under Mustela putorius furo (domestic ferret). Its description in RNAcentral is "lncRNA (ENSMPUG00000029361.1)". Lineage: Eukaryota; Metazoa; Chordata; Mammalia; Carnivora; Mustelidae. The record is from RNAcentral.
AUGACCUUGGAGAGGGACAAGGCACGAAGACAUCCACAUGGCAGUUUUAGCAAGCAGUGGAAGUGCCCACAUGAGGAAUAUGGUGUUCGGUCCUCACAUGUGGUCUUGAUGAAUAAGGGUCUUCUUUGGCCUCUUCCGAAACCGUCCAGCAUCUCAACACUGGAUUUACUCCUCAACAGUCUAAGGUUUGUGCUCCUUCCAUGGUGAUCGACUGUUAGGUCAUAAACAUUAGAUUGUGGCAUCACUGGCUGAGUCAGUUGGGAGGAAGCUGGGCUGGAAAUACAGCUGAAAGUCUCUGUUGACAGAUGCCUUCUUAAUCAUGGCCUGCGUGGGGAAAGGAAAACUGCUGGGCCCACCCCCGGCCUUGAUUCACAAACCUGGACUGCUCUGGAGGAGGCUAGGAAAGCCCGUCCUCGGGGAAUACCACUUUGCUCUCCCCCACACUUCUCACAGGAUAGCAGCACAACUCAAGAGGAGGGGGGGAAAGGGAUAAGCUCUUUCUGGUUACUUUUUGGGUAUCAGCAAAGAAAAACAGUGUUCACCAUCUUUUCGACAUCUCGUGCUAUUCCCUCUUAAAUAGCUUCUAUUGUUAGCAUUGCCUCUUGCCUUCUUUUUUGAUAGGGUUCCUGUUCCACUUUAUUGGCCUUGUCUAUAGAAUGGGCAUCGUAAGAGCUCACCUGUUAGAAGGCAGGAGGUGGGGAUACACAAUAUUGUUAUGUUUCCUUUCACCACAUUUUCCUGUCUCUUUGGGGGGGCACCUAGAUGGCUCAGUC